This 1465-nucleotide ribosomal RNA is filed under the name Caldivirga maquilingensis. Its description in RNAcentral is "bacterial SSU rRNA". It matches the Rfam family "Archaeal small subunit ribosomal RNA". Lineage: Archaea; Thermoproteati; Thermoproteota; Thermoprotei; Thermoproteales; Thermoproteaceae. The record is from RNAcentral.
GACCCGACCGCUAUCGGGGUGGGGCUUAGCCAUGCGAGUCAAGCGCCCCAGGGACCCGCUGGGGUGCGGCGCACGGCUCAGUAACACGUGGCCAACCUACCCUCGGGAGGGGGAUAACCCCGGGAAACUGGGGCUAAUCCCCCAUAGGGGAAGGGUGCUGGAAGGCCCCCUCCCCGAAAAGAGCCACGUCCGGUACCCGGCGCGGCUCGCCCGAGGAUGGGGCUACGGCCCAUCAUGGUAGCUGGCGGGGUAACGGCCCGCCAGGCCGAAGACGGGUGGGGGCCGUGAGAGCGGGAGCCCCGAGAUGGGCACUGAGACAAGGGCCCAGGCCCUAUGGGGUGCAGCAGGCUCGAAUACUCCGCAAUGCGGUAACCCGCGACGGGGCCACCCCGAGUGCCGCCCGAUGAGGGCGGCUUUUCCCCCGUGUAAGUAGCUGGGGGAAUAAGCGGGGGGCAAGUCUGGUGUCAGCCGCCGCGGUAAUACCAGCUCCGCGAGUGGUCGGGGUGUUUACUGGGCCUAAAGCGCCCGUAGCCGGCCCGGUAAGUCACCCCUGAAAUCCAUGGGCUCAACCCAUGGGCCGGGGGUGAUACUGCCGGGCUUGGGGGUGGGAGAGGCCGAGGGUACUCCCGGGGUAGGGGCGAAAUCCGAUAAUCCCGGGAGGACCACCAGUGGCGGAAGCGCUCGGCUGGAACACGCCCGACGGUGAGGGGCGAAAGCUGGGGGAGCAAAGGGGAUUAGAUACCCCUGUAGUCCCAGCUGUAAACGAUGCGGGCUAGCUGUUGGGUGGGCUUAGUGCCCGCCCAGUGGCGUAGGGAAGCCGUUAAGCCCGCCGCCUGGGGAGUACGGCCGCAAGGCUGAAACUUAAAGGAAUUGGCGGGGGGGCACCACAAGGGGUGAAGCUUGCGGCUUAAUUGGAGUCAACGCCGGAAACCUCACCCGGGGCGACAGCAGGAUGAAGGCCAGGCUAACGACCUUGCCGGACGAGCUGAGAGGAGGUGCAUGGCCGUCGCCAGCUCGUGCCGUGAGGUGUCCAGUUAAGUCUGGCAACGAGCGCGACCCCCGCUCCCUGUUGCUACCCUACCCUUCGGGGUGGGGGGCACACAGGGAGGACUGCCGGCGUAAGCCGGAGGAAGGAGGGGGCCACGGCAGGUCAGUAUGCCCCGAAACCCCGGGGCUGCACGCGAGCUGCAAUGGCGGGGACAGCGGGUUCCGACCCCGAAAGGGGGAGGCAAUCCCGUAAACCCCGCCCCAGUAGGAAUCGAGGGCUGUAACUCGCCCUCGUGAACGUGGAAUCCCUAGUAACCGCGUGUCACCAACGCGCGGUGAAUACGUCCCUGCCCCUUGCACACACCGCCCGUCGCGCCACCCGAGGGGAUCCUUAACGAGGCCCCCUGGGUAACUGGGGGGUCGAGUUGGGGGUCCCAAGGGGGGCGAAGUCGUAACAAGGUGGCCGUAGGGGAACCUG